Molecule: long non-coding RNA, 5760 nt
Filed under: Medicago truncatula (barrel medic)
Lineage: Eukaryota; Viridiplantae; Streptophyta; Magnoliopsida; Fabales; Fabaceae
Description: long non-coding RNA (MTRU_LNC000426)
Source: RNAcentral
AAUUUCUACCAGAAACAUGUUAAAUCAAAAUCAGAAUUACAAUCUAUACUAUUGAAAGUAAAUCUCACCCUUACCUUAGUUCAGAAAAUCGCACGACACACGGUUGAUCUUGGUUCUACUUGUUCUUCUCUCCCCUUGUUCUUGGUUUUCUCUCCCAAAACUUGUUUCACGUAAAACUGCUUCUGACCUUUUCUUUUCCUAACUCCCAAACUAUAACUCCCCUUUUAUUUCAUUAAACUCCCCUUAAUUCUAUUAAAUCCUAAUUAACUCCCUAAUUUCUAAAAUAAUAAUAAUUCCCACUAAUUUUAAUUAUUAUUUUAUUAAACCAUAUAUUAAAAUGCACACACCACAUAAAUCACCAAAAAUCAUAUAAAAUCAUAUAUGAGACUCCAAAUAAUUCAAAAUAAAAUAAAUAACAACUAGGGCGUUACAACUCUCCCCAACUUAGAGGAUUUCGUCCUCGAAAUCUUACCUCAAACAAACAACUCUGGGUACGACUCCCGCAUCUUACUUUCCAGCUCCCAAGUUAAACUUUCUCCAGUCGCUCCACCCCAAACGACUCUCACAAGCGGUAUCUCUUUACCUCUCAAGGAUUUCACCUUCCUAUCAUCAAUUCUCAACGGUAAGGUUUCCACCGUAAGGUUGUCUCUAACUUGCACGUCAUCCCUAGGAAUAAUAUGCGAAGGAUCCGGUACAUACUUCCGCAACUGCGACACGUGGAACACGUCAUGCAAAUUCGAAAGAUGAGGGGGCAAACCCACCCUAUAAGCCACUGUCCCGACUCUCUCAGAUAUCUGAUAUGGGCCAAUAAACUUCGGAGUCAACUUCUUAGAUUUUAAUGCACGGCCUACACCUGUCAUAGGAGUGACUCUCAAGAACACAUGAUCUCCCUCUUGAAACUCAAGGUCCUUCCUACGCUUGUCAUGAUAGCUCUUCUGUCGACUCUGCGACGCUUUCAUCCGUUCUCUUAUUAACUUAACCUUUUCCGUAGUUUGUUGAACUAUGUCUGGUCCCAACAUCACACUUUCUCCCGACUCAAACCAACACAAAGGAGUUCUGCACCUUCGACCAUACAAGGCUUCAAACGGUGCCAUACCAAUACUCGAAUGGUAACUAUUGUUGUAAGUAAACUCUAUCAACGGUAGGUGACUAUCCCAAGCUCCACCUUGCUCAAGUACACACACCCUCAAUAGAUCCUCUAAGGAUUGUAUCGUUCUCUCCGACUGACCAUCUGUCUGAGGAUGAUAAGCCGAACUCAACCUCAAUUUCGAGCCCAAAGCAUCUUGCAAACUCUUCCAGAAUCUAGAAGUGAACCUCGGAUCUCUAUCUGAUACAAUACUCGACGGAACACCAUGCAACUUCACAAUGUCCCGAAUAUAAAUCUCCGCCAACUGAGCCACCGGAAAACUGAUAUUUAUCGGAAUAAAGUGCGCCGACUUCGUCAAUCUAUCGACCACAACCCAUAUAGAAUCAUGUCCUCUCGGAGUAUUAGGUAAACUUGUCACAAAAUCCAUAGAAAUACUAUCCCAUUUCCACUCCGGUACAUCCAAUGGUGUCAACAACCCUGCAGGUUUCUGAUGUUCAACCUUAGACUUCUGGCAAGUCAAACAUGCAUACACAAAUUGAGCAACAUCACGCUUCAAACCAGGCCACCAAAACAGCUUUUUCAAAUCGUGAUACAUCUUCGUAGCUCCCGGAUGGAUACUCAAGCUGCUCUUGUGACUUUCUUCCAAAAUCAACCUUUUCAUCUCAUCGUUGUCUGGAAUGCAAAUUCUGCCUCUGAACUUCAACACACCUUGUUCAUCAACUUUGAAAUCACUAUCCUCAGCUUGAUUACUAUUAACUAUUAAAUCCACAAACUUGACAUCAACCUGUUGCGCUUCUCUGAUACUAUUCAAGAAUUCACUAUUGAUUUUCAUCAUACCCAACUUCUCACUCUGGGGUGACAAUUCGCAAACAAGACUCAAGUCUCUAAACUGUUCAAGCAACUCGAAUUCCUUUACCAUCAUGGCCGACAUGUGUAAUGUCUUCCUACUCAAAGCAUCUGCAACUACAUUGGCUUUACCCGGAUGAUAGUUUAACCCAAAAUCAUAAUCCUUCAAUAGCUCUAACCAUCUCCUCUGCCUCAUGUUCAACUCCUUCUAAUCAGAUAAAUAUUUCAAGCUCUUAUGGUCACUGAACACUUCAAAUCUGGAACCAUACAAGUAGUGCCUCCAAAUCUUUAAAACAAAAACCACCGCAGCCAACUCUAAAUCGUGAGUAGGAUAAUUCUUUUCAUGCACUCUCAGCUGCCUAGAAGCAUACGCUACCACCUUACCAUCUUGCAUCAAAACACCUCCUAGACCCAGCUUAGACGCAUCACAGUAAACAACAAACGGUUCUUCUGGCUUAGGCAAAAUUAAAACAGGCGCAGUUGUCAACUUUCUCUUCAACUCAUUGAAGCUACUCUCACAUUGAGCAUCCCAUACAAAAGACUUACCCUUACAGGUUAACUGAGUCAACGGCAAAGCUAACUUUGAGAAUCCCUCAAUAAACCUGCGGUAAUAACCAGCCAAACCCAAGAAACUUCUGAUCUCUGUCACCGACUUCGGAGUCUCCCAUUGUGAUACUGCAUCAACUUUUGAAGGAUCCACUGCAAUACCACUACCAGAAAUAAUAUGGCCAAGAAAACUCACUUCACUUAACCAAAACUCGCACUUUGACAAUUUGGCAUACAACUUCUUCUCUUUCAAUACUUGCAAUACAAUCCUCAGAUGUUCUGCAUGCUCUUCCUCAGUUCUCGAAUAGAUCAAAAUGUCAUCAAUGAAUACAACCACAAAUUUAUCCAGGUAAGCAUGAAAAAUUCUGUUCAUAUACUCCAUGAACACACCAGGCGCAUUAGUAACACCGAAAGGCAUCACCUUAUAUUCGUAAUGACCAUAUCGUGUCCUAAAGGCAGUCUUCUGCAUGUCCUCAUCUUUCACCUUGAUCUGAUGGUAACCUGACCUCAAGUCAAUUUUACUAAAAAUCUUUGCACCAACCAACUGAUCCAUCAGGUCGUCAAUUCUCGGAAGCGGAUAUCUGUUCUUUAUCGUAACUUUAUUCAACUGACGGUAGUCAAUGCAUAACCUCAUGCUACCAUCCUUCUUCUUUACCAACAACACAGGCGCUCCCCACGGUGAAACACUUGGUCUUACAAACUUCUUGUCGAGUAAGUCCUCCAACUGUUUCUUCAACUCAGCAAGUUCGGAUGCCGACAUACGAUAAGGUGCCAUCGACACCGGCUUCGUUCCUGGCACCAGAUCGAUGGAGAACUCAACCUCCCUUUCUGGUGGUACAUCUGGAAUCUCAUCCGGAAAAACUUCAGGAAACUCGUUCACCACUGGUAACCUGCCAAUCACAGCUUGGUUUUCUAACGACAAAUAUGCCAUUAAAGAAUACAUCAGAAUCCCAUCUCGUUCUAGCUGCUUCAUCUCUUUCGUAGUCAAAAUUUCAACUCCAUUUUCUUCUUCAGCAGAAGAAAAAUGCACCGUCUUACUAAAACAAUUGAUAUGAACUCGGUUAUACUCUAACCAGUUCAUACCAAGGACACAACAACAACAACAAAGACAACAUUAGAGUUGACACUCUAUCCUAGGUGGCUCAACACGACUCUACUACUUGGCCGGACGGACCAACCUGCUCUGAUACCAAUUGUAACACCCCGUUACCCAAAAGUAAUUAAAUAAUUAAACAUACAUCAGAGUAAAUCCCAAACGGGCAUGUCACACUACAUUUUCAAAUUUUUCUUAAAUAGAAAUAUAAAACUAUUUAAUUAAACCUCAAUAAUCUGCAGCGGAAUAUUUGCAUUAAGAGCAACAACAUUAACUGUUUAAUUCUCCAUGAUAAUCCUUGGCAUAAAAGCCUCAACAACAUAAAUUCAACCACUAAAAAGGGCUACAACAACAAGUUUCAAAAUAUGAUACAUAAGGAAUGAAACAUAAAUAAGGUAAACCCAUCCCAAAUGUAUCAGAGCCCUAGACACUUGAGCCACCACCAACUACUCAGGAUCACCUGCAAGUUACCCAUAGGAAGGGCAACAUUUUCAAGCAGAAGGGGUGAGAUUCACAACAAUAAGAUAUAGAUAUUAAAAUUCGUCAAUUGAAUCUAACACCCUAAAUAUAAUCAGUUCAUCAUCUUAUAUGCAUAUGUAUAUAUACUUCAUAAAACAACAUCAUCAUCAUCAAAUCAAUCAUCAUCAUAUAGGUAUAAAUAUAUACUUCAUCAAACAACAUCAUCAUCGUCAAUAUGGCAACUACAACCAACAACACCGACUCAUGCAAAUGACAUGACAACACCGCUAAGACAACACCCUAGACUCCUCAAUAAAUGCAAAUAUGCAUGUGGUACCAUAAUCAGGGCCGUGACCCACACCGCUGUCGAAUGGUUAAAGCAUUCUCAUCAGGACCUAAGUCCUCACCGCUCAACACCGCUUUUGAACAACUAGUGUUCCACCACUUUGAACGACAAGGCGUUCCAGAGCCGAAGCUCUCCCACUUUGAUGUUAUGCAACUACCCAACCUGUGUAUAUCUACAUACAACUCAACAAAUGCAUAUAUAUAUGUAUAUGACUCAACUCUCCAUAACUCCACACUUGUAUGAUUUAAUGAAUGUAAACAUACAACACAGUCAUCAAUAGUUCAUCAUUAAUCAAUCCAACAAUCCAGAAAAAUGCACAAUUUAUCUUAAUCAUGCUCAUACAUCAAGCUCCAUUCAAAACGUUCAAACAGGAUUCAACAACUCAAGGAUAUUAGUAAUCAACAACAUCAAUUAUAUUAGCUUAGAUACAUUGAGAGGCUAUACCCUUAUAGACAACUUCCAUCCCUACCCCAAGGACCACUCAUGAACUCAUUAGACCCUUAUACAACGUUAUAUCUUUCCUAAAAACAUCUCUAUACGUUUAGGAUAAAGUCCCUACACUUAGGAAGAAGUUUGGAAGCAUUUGGAGUGAAGAAAAUUGCAUUUUAGGGUUUAUGGUAAGACAACAUCAGUCAUACUAAAAUUACACAUUUUCUGUCAAAAUCGCCUCAUGAUCACCAGAAUCGCCUCAUGAUUUCGACAGUAUCAGACAUACUAAAAUUACAGAUUUUUCUGUCAAAAUCGCCUCAUGAUUUCUAGAAUCGCCUCAUGAUUUCGACAGUAUCAGACAUGCUGAAAUCACAGAUUUUCUGCGAUUUUCUACCAUGGGAGCCUCCUUGGCUUCAAUUCUCAACCCUAAACUCUCCAAAAUCAUCCAUAAACAUCACCGUAUGAUUACCCUAUCAUUAAAACGUUAACCCAUCACUAACCUACCUGAUUAACAACUCUUUUCACCAUUCAAUUCUAUGGUUUCUACACUUUUUCAUUCAAAAACCAAUAAUCAAAACCUAAUCCCAAAUUUCUCAAUUUCUACCAGAAACAUGUUAAAUCAAAAUCAGAAUUACAAUCUAUACUAUUGAAAGUAAAUCUCACCCUUACCUUAGUUCAGAAAAUCGCACGACACACGGUUGAUCUUGGUUCUACUUGUUCUUCUCUCCCCUUGUUCUUGGUUUUCUCUCCCAAAACUUGUUUCACGUAAAACUACUUCUGACCUUUUCUUUUCCUAACUCCCAAACUAUAACUCCCCUUUUAUUUCAUUAAACUCCCCUUAAUUCUAUUAAAUCCUAAUUAACUCCCUAAUUUCUAAAAUAAUAAUAAUUCCCACUAAUUUUAAUUAUUAUUUUAUUAAACCAUAUAUUAAAAUGCACACACCACAUAAAUCAC